RNAcentral lists this ribosomal RNA (496 nucleotides) under uncultured bacterium. Its description in RNAcentral is "bacterial SSU rRNA". It matches the Rfam family "Bacterial small subunit ribosomal RNA", at positions 30 to 521 of the family's 1533-position model. The record is from RNAcentral.
AUUGAACGCUGGCGGAAUGCUUUACACAUGCAAGUCGAACGGUAGAGGGGGCAACCCCUUGAGAGUGGCGAACGGGUGAGUAAUAUAUCGGAACGUGCCCAGUCGUGGGGAUAACGUAGCGAAAGUUACGCUAAUACCGCAUACGAUCUACGGAUGAAAGCGGGGGACUCGCAAGAGCCUCGCGCGAUUGGAGCGGCCGAUAUCAGAUUAGGUAGUUGGUGGGGUAAAGGCUCACCAAGCCAACGAUCUGUAGCUGGUCUGAGAGGACGACCAGCCACACUGGAACUGAGACACGGUCCAGACUCCUACGGGAGGCAGCAGUGGGGAAUUUUGGACAAUGGACGCAAGUCUGAUCCAGCCAUUCCGCGUGCAGGAUGAAGGCCCUCGGGUUGUAAACUGCUUUUGUACGGAACGAAACGGUAGAGCUCUAAUACAGUUUGCUAAUGACGGUACCGUAAGAAUAAGCACCGGCUAACUACGUGCCAGCAGCCGCGGU